GACGAACGCUGGCGGCGUGCUUAACACAUGCAAGUCGAACGAUGAACCCGGAGCUUGCUCCGGCGGAUUAGUGGCGAACGGGUGAGUAACACGUGAGUAACCUGCCCUUGACUCUGGGAUAACUGCUAGAAAUGGUAGCUAAUACCGGAUACGACCCUCGGUGGCAUCACCAGGGGGUGGAAAGAAUUUCGGUCAAGGAUGGACUCGCGGCCUAUCAGCUAGUUGGUGAGGUAACGGCUCACCAAGGCGACGACGGGUAGCCGGCCUGAGAGGGUGACGGGCCACAGGGGGACUGGGACACGGCCCGGACUCCUACGGGAGGCAGCAGGGGGGAAUAUUGCACAAUGGGCGCAAGCCUGAGGCAGCAACGCCGCGUGGGGGAUGACGGCCUUCGGGUUGUAAACCUCUUUUAGUAGGGAAGAAGCGAAAGUGCCGGUACCUGCAGAAAAAGCACCGGCUAACUACGUGCCAGCCGCCGGGGUAA
Molecule: ribosomal RNA, 484 nt
Filed under: uncultured bacterium
Lineage: Bacteria
Description: partial 16S ribosomal RNA
Rfam family: Bacterial small subunit ribosomal RNA
Source: RNAcentral